Molecule: ribosomal RNA, 468 nt
Filed under: uncultured bacterium
Lineage: Bacteria
Description: partial 16S ribosomal RNA
Rfam family: Bacterial small subunit ribosomal RNA
Source: RNAcentral
GACGAACGCUGGCGGCGUGCUUAACACAUGCAAGUCGAACGGAAAGGCCCUGCUUUUGUGGGGUGCUCGAGUGGCGAACGGGUGAGUAACACGUGAGUAACCUGCCCUUGACUUUGGGAUAACUUCAGGAAACUGGGGCUAAUACCGGAUAGGAGCUCCUGCUGCAUGGUGGGGGUUGGAAAGUUUCGGCGGUUGGGGAUGGACUCGCGGCUUAUCAGCUUGUUGGUGGGGUAGUGGCUUACCAAGGCUUUGACGCGUAGCCGGCCUGAGAGGGUGACCGGCCACAUUGGGACUGAGAGACGGCCCAGACUCCUACGGGAGGCAGCGGUGGGAAAUAUUGCACAAUGGGCGGAAGCCUGAUGCAGCAACGCCGCGUGCGGGAUGACGGCCUUCGGGUUGUAAACCGCUUUCGCCUGUGACGAAGCGUGGGUGACGGUAAUGGGUAAAGAAGCACCGGCUAACUACGUG